Molecule: ribosomal RNA, 199 nt
Filed under: uncultured bacterium
Lineage: Bacteria
Description: partial 16S ribosomal RNA
Rfam family: Bacterial small subunit ribosomal RNA
Source: RNAcentral
ACGCUCGACACCUACGGGUGGCAGCAGUCGGGAAUAUUGCGCAAUGGAGGGAACUCUGACGCAGUGACGCCGCGUAUAGGAAGAAGGUUUUCGGAUUGUAAACUAUUGUCGUUAGGGAAGAGAAAGGACAGUACCUAAGGAGGAAGCUCCGGCUAACUACGUGCCAGCAGCAGCGGUAAUCUGAGCGGGCUGGCAAGGC